GACGAACGCUGGCGGCGUGCUUAACACAUGCAAGUCGAACGGAAAGGCCUGCUUUCCCUUGUGGAUUGCGGGUGCUCGAGUGGCGAACGGGUGAGUAACACGUGAGUGAUCUGCCCCCAACUUGGGUAUAAGCCUGGGAAACUGGGUCUAAUUCCCGAUAGGACUGCAGGGUGGUGCCUGUGGUGGAAAACGAUUUUCUAGUGGUUGGGGAUGAGCUCGCGGCCUAUCAGCUUGUUGGUGGGGUAAUGGCCUACCAAGGCGGCGACGGGUAGCCGGCCUGGGAGGGUGGACGGCCACAUUGGGAAUGAGAUACGGCCCAGACUCCUACGGGAGGCAGCAGUGGGGAAUAAUGCACAAUGGGCGGAAGCCUGAUGCAGCGACGCCGCGUGGGGGAUGACGGCCUUCGGGUUGUAAACUCCUUUCGACCGCGAGGAAGCCGCCUGGUUGGAAGGGUGGUGACGGUAGUGGUAGAAGAAGCACCGGCUAACUACGUG
This 494-nucleotide ribosomal RNA is filed under the name uncultured bacterium. RNAcentral's name for it is "partial 16S ribosomal RNA". It matches the Rfam family "Bacterial small subunit ribosomal RNA", at positions 28 to 507 of the family's 1533-position model. The record is from RNAcentral.